UAGCGUGGCGGAGGCUACACAUGCAUGUCGAGCGCGAAACACUUCGGUGUGAGUAAAGCGGCGGACGGGUAAGUAACGCGUAGGAAUCUACCUAGUAGUGGGGGACAACUCGGGGAAACUCGAGCUAAUACCGCAUACGCCCUACGGGGGAAAGCGGGGGACCUUCGGGCCUCGUGCUAUUAGAUGAGCCUGCGUUGGAUUAGCUAGUUGGUGGGGUAAAGGCCUACCAAUGCGACGAUCCAUAGCUGGUCUGAGAGGAUGAUCAGCCACACCGGGACUGAGACACGGGCCGGACUCCUACGGGAGGCAGCAGUGGGGAAUAUUUGCGCCAUGGGCGAAAGGCUGACGCAGGCAUGCCGCGUGUGUGAAAGAAGGCCUUCGGGUUGGUAAGCACUUUCCAUUGGGAGGAAAGGUUCACGUGGUUAAUAACCGUGAGCUUGUGACCGUUACCUUUUACAAAAGCACGGCUAGGUCAUGACAGGCGCCGGGCGCAUACCGAGGGUGCGAGCGUUUAUGUGAAUAACUGGGGCGUAAGGCGCGUCGUGGCUGUGACAGCACGGAGUGUAAGUCCCCGGCUGACCUGUGAGAUGUAUCGAUAAAG
RNAcentral lists this ribosomal RNA (601 nucleotides) under uncultured Gammaproteobacteria bacterium. RNAcentral's name for it is "bacterial SSU rRNA". It matches the Rfam family "Bacterial small subunit ribosomal RNA", at positions 31 to 634 of the family's 1533-position model. The record is from RNAcentral. Lineage: Bacteria; Pseudomonadati; Pseudomonadota; Gammaproteobacteria.